This 67-nucleotide transfer RNA is filed under the name Marmota monax (woodchuck). Its description in RNAcentral is "tRNA.Ala". The record is from RNAcentral. Lineage: Eukaryota; Metazoa; Chordata; Mammalia; Rodentia; Sciuridae.
GGAUGUAUCUCAGUGGUAGAGCACUUGCCUAGCAUGUGCAAGGCCCUGGGUUCAACUCCCAUCACCA